This 462-nucleotide ribosomal RNA is filed under the name uncultured bacterium. RNAcentral describes it as "partial 16S ribosomal RNA". It matches the Rfam family "Bacterial small subunit ribosomal RNA", at positions 28 to 507 of the family's 1533-position model. The record is from RNAcentral.
GACGAACGCUGGCGGCGUGCUUAACACAUGCAAGUCGAACGGAAAGGCCCUUCGGGGUACUCGAGUGGCGAACGGGUGAGUAACACGUGGGUGAUCUGCCCUGCACUUUGGGAUAAGCCUGGGAAACUGGGUCUAAUACCGAAUAGGACCACGCGCUUCAUGGUGUGUGGCGGAAAGCUUUUGCGGUGUGGGAUGGGCCCGCGGCCUAUCAGCUUGUUGGUGGGGUAAUGGCCUACCAAGGCGACGACGGGUAGCCGGCCUGAGAGGGUGACCGGCCACACUGGGACUGAGAUACGGCCCAGACUCCUACGGGAGGCAGCAGUGGGGAAUAUUGCACAAUGGGCGCAAGCCUGAUGCAGCGACGCCGCGUGAGGGAUGACGGCCUUCGGGUUGUAAACCUCUUUCAAUAGGGACGAAGCGCAAGUGACGGUACCUAUAGAAGAAGCACCGGCCAACUACGUG